GAUGAAGAACGUAGUGAAAUGCGAUACGUAAUGUGAAUUGCAGAAUUCAGUGAAUCAUCGAAUCUUUGAACGCACCUUGCGCCCUUUGGCUAUUCCGAAGGGCAUGCCUGUUUGAGUAUCAUGAACACCUCAACUCUCAUGGUUUGCCAUGAUGAGCUUGGACUUUGGGGGUCUUGCCGGCCUAUGGGUCGGCUCCUCUCAAAUUAAUCAGCUUGCCAGUGUUUGGUGGCAUCACAGGUGUGAUAACUAUCUACGCUUGUGGUUUUCCAUCAGGUAACCUUCAGUGAUGGAGGUUCGCUGGGGCUCAUAAAUGUCUCUCCUCAGUGAGGACAGCUUUUUUGAACGUUUGAUCUCAAAUCAGGUAGGACUACCCGCUGAACUUAAGCAUAUCAAUAAGCGGAGGA
RNAcentral lists this unclassified non-coding RNA (404 nucleotides) under soil metagenome. Its description in RNAcentral is "partial contains 5.8S ribosomal RNA, internal transcribed spacer 2, and large subunit ribosomal RNA". The stretch from base 1 to 121 matches the Rfam family "5.8S ribosomal RNA", at positions 35 to 154 of the family's 154-position model. The record is from RNAcentral.